This is a long non-coding RNA of Athene cunicularia (burrowing owl), 168 nucleotides long. RefSeq lists it as uncharacterized. The transcript has 4 exons. The record is from RefSeq and is a predicted model, not a curated record. Lineage: Eukaryota; Metazoa; Chordata; Aves; Strigiformes; Strigidae.
AACCCCUCCAGGGAUGGGGACUCCACCACCUCCCUGGGCAGCCCAUUCCAACGCCAAACAACCCCUUCUGGAAAGAAAUGCUUCCUAAUAUCUACUCUGAACUUUCCCUGACGCAACUUGAGGCCAUGUCCCAUCCCUCUUUUCCAAGCACUUGUUACUUGGUUAAAU